UGAGGAAUAUUGGUCAAUGGGCGCAAGCCUGAACCAGCCAUCCCGCGUGAAGGAUGAAGGCCCUAUGGGUCGUAAACUUCUUUUAUACACCAAGAAAAGUUCGGACGUGUCCGAAUCUGACGGUAGUGUGUGAAUAAGCAUCGGCUAACUCCGUGCCAGCAGCCGCGGUAAUACGGAGGAUGCAAGCGUUAUCCGGAUUCAUUGGGUUUAAAGGGUGCGUAGGCGGCUCUUUAAGUCAGAUGUGAAAGCCCUGGGCUCAACCUGGGAACUGCAUUUGAAACUGGCGAGCUAGAGUUUGAGAGAGGUAAGUGGAAUUUCAGGUGUAGCGGUGAAAUGCGUAGAGAUGUGGAGGAACACCGAUGGCGAAGGCAGCCCCCUGGGUCAACACUGACGCUCAUGCACGAAAGCGUGGGGAGCAAACAGG
Molecule: ribosomal RNA, 424 nt
Filed under: uncultured bacterium
Lineage: Bacteria
Description: bacterial SSU rRNA
Rfam family: Bacterial small subunit ribosomal RNA
Source: RNAcentral